This 76-nucleotide transfer RNA is filed under the name Lentisphaeria bacterium. RNAcentral describes it as "tRNA-Arg". It matches the Rfam family "tRNA". Rfam says of the family: Transfer RNA (tRNA) molecules are approximately 80 nucleotides in length. Their secondary structure includes four short double-helical elements and three loops (D, anti-codon, and T loops). Further hydrogen bonds mediate the characteristic L-shaped molecular structure. tRNAs have two regions of fundamental functional importance: the anti-codon, which is responsible for specific mRNA codon recognition, and the 3' end, to which the tRNAs corresponding amino acid is attached (by aminoacyl-tRNA synthetases). tRNAs cope with the degeneracy of the genetic code in two manners: having more than one tRNA (with a specific anti-codon) for a particular amino acid; and 'wobble' base-pairing, i.e. permitting non-standard base-pairing at the 3rd anti-codon position. Lineage: Bacteria; Pseudomonadati; Lentisphaerota; Lentisphaeria. The record is from RNAcentral.
GCCCGGGUAGCUCAGUGGAUAGAGCAACGGUUUCCUAAACCGCAGGUCGGAGGUUCAAUUCCUCUCCCGGGUACCA